AUUGAACGCUGGCGGCAUGCCUUACACAUGCAAGUCGAACGGUAACGGGUCCUUCGGGAUGCCGACGAGUGGCGAACGGGUGAGUAAUAUAUCGGAACGUGCCCAGUAGUGGGGGAUAACUGCUCGAAAGAGCAGCUAAUACCGCAUACGACCUGAGGGUGAAAGGGGGGGAUCGCAAGACCUCUCGCUAUUGGAGCGGCCGAUAUCAGAUUAGCUAGUUGGUGGGGUAAAGGCCUACCAAGGCAACGAUCUGUAGUUGGUCUGAGAGGACGACCAGCCACACUGGGACUGAGACACGGCCCAGACUCCUACGGGAGGCAGCAGUGGGGAAUUUUGGACAAUGGGCGAAAGCCUGAUCCAGCAAUGCCGCGUGCAGGAUGAAGGCUUUCGGGUUGUAAACUGCUUUUGUACGGAACGAAAAGCCCUGGGUUAAUACCCUGGGGUCAUGACGGUACCGUAAGAAUAAGCACCGGCUAACUACGUGCCAGCCGCCGCAGUAA
Molecule: ribosomal RNA, 500 nt
Filed under: uncultured bacterium
Lineage: Bacteria
Description: partial 16S ribosomal RNA
Rfam family: Bacterial small subunit ribosomal RNA
Source: RNAcentral